UCCGUAGGUGAACCUGCGGAAGGAUCAUUACCGAGUGUAGGGUUCCUAGCGAGCCCAACCUCCCACCCGUGUUUACUGUACCUUAGUUGCUUCGGCGGGCCCGCCAUUCAUGGCCGCCGGGGGCUCUCAGCCCCGGGCCCGCGCCCGCCGGAGACACCACGAACUCUGUCUGAUCUAGUGAAGUCUGAGUUGAUUGUAUCGCAAUCAGUUAAAACUUUCAACAAUGGAUCUCUUGGUUCCGGCAUCGAUGAAGAACGCAGCGAAAUGCGAUAACUAGUGUGAAUUGCAGAAUUCCGUGAAUCAUCGAGUCUUUGAACGCACAUUGCGCCCCCUGGUAUUCCGGGGGGCAUGCCUGUCCGAGCGUCAUUGCUGCCCAUCAAGCACGGCUUGUGUGUUGGGUCGUCGUCCCCUCUCCGGGGGGGACGGGCCCCAAAGGCAGCGGCGGCACCGCGUCCGAUCCUCGAGCGUAUGGGGCUUUGUCACCCGCUCUGUAGGCCCGGCCGGCGCUUGCCGAACGCAAAUCAAUCUUUUCCAGGUUGACCUCGGAUCAGGUAGGGAUACCCGCUGAACUUAAGCAUAUCAAUAAGCGGAGGACCUGUGUGAAAUU
Molecule: ribosomal RNA, 607 nt
Filed under: Aspergillus flavus
Lineage: Eukaryota; Fungi; Ascomycota; Eurotiomycetes; Eurotiales; Aspergillaceae
Description: eukaryotic LSU rRNA
Rfam family: 5.8S ribosomal RNA (bases 213-366)
Source: RNAcentral